Molecule: long non-coding RNA, 1388 nt
Filed under: Salmo salar (Atlantic salmon)
Lineage: Eukaryota; Metazoa; Chordata; Actinopteri; Salmoniformes; Salmonidae
Description: lncRNA (ENSSSAG00000104422.1)
Source: RNAcentral
GGCAUCUUCCCCCUGGUUGUAAUUUAUAACUGUCAAAUCAAAUCUAUGUAGCUAUCUAUCUAACUCAAAUGUCUGUUGAGGACUCUUUGAUAAUCACAUUUGAGGCACAUGUCAGCAGGUGGCAGUGUCUUCAAAUGCAGUAGUUGAUGAUCUGUGCAACAGUUGAGCAACUUGAAGUUGUACAUUUUUGGGGGGCUAGCAAGCUUGCCUGCCUAUUUCUACAAUUAAUCUUCUUAUAAUCGCAUUUUAAACCUAACCACACUGCUAAUCUAAUGGCCCAACCUUAAAUUAAGACCAAAAAGCGUAUUUUUGUUUUCAUACAUUUUUACGAUAUAGCCCAUUUGUACUUUGUGGCUGUGUUAUCUAGUGGGAAUCUCUAGCUGGCUAGUUAUCUACCCUCUGGCGUUCCGCAAUAUUGGAGAAAAAGUUGAUUGAUAAUCCAAGUACUAGUUUGAAAAAUAUGCACUGGGCAUCAAAAUGAUCUCCCGAAUAGUUUUAAAAGAUGUGGUUCAGAGGUUCAAGAGUUUUACUCCUGAGUUACGGCUGGGAUUGUUUCUGUCAUAGCAUAAUUUGUUUACUGUCACUAACGUUACAUAUUUCGGUUUAUCAGAGGAUGUCUUCAGUCUUGGAACGACAGUUUUUGGCAAUGGUCAUGUGCACAAGCUCAAUAAGGUUCCGGAGUGGCGCAGCGGUCUGAGGCACUGCAUCUUAGUGCAAAAGAGGCGUCACUACAGACCCUGUUUCGAAUCCAGGUUGUAUCACAUCCGGCUGUGAUUCGGAGUCCCAUAGGGCAGUGCACAAUUGGGCCUGCAUCGCCAGGAAAAAUCUUGCAUCACUGCUUCACACAUUCUCCUUAACUUGCACUGGUGAAACAGACGGAAAGGGCUGGCUCUCACUUCUGGACAUGUCCGAUGCCAGGGCAUCAGUGCUGGACAAGAAGAUGCCUUUCAGGCGGCUGAGGAACAUUGAUGUCCUGUAUGUCCCUGCAUCAAUAGAGGCGAGAAGGAAGACAGUCCACCCACCAAUCAUUCCAACCCCAGGCUCCUACCCAGUCCAAGCCUACGCUCCAGUGUCUUCUACCUCCAACCUACAGGCUACCGAGACCACACCAAAGACAUUUGAAGGCUGGGCCCACUCCUACUAUACACAGGGGAGCCCUGUUCAGGUCUCAGGUUAUUACGGACACAACCAUGGAUAUGGCCUCAAGCUUUGGGCCAAGUUACGGACAUGGUCACAAACAUGGACACAGCUGCAGCCACAGCCAAGGUCAUGGACAUAGUCACGAACACAGCUUUGGCCAUGGACUCAGUCAUGGACAUGCAUCUGCCUCUCAAACCAGCAGUCACUGGGCUCCAGUGGCUCAACAUCCACAUUCUCAACAUUCCCAC